UACGUAGGGUGCAAGCGUUGUCCGGAAUUAUUGGGCGUAAAGAGCUUGUAGGCGGUUUGUCGCGUCUGCUGUGAAAUUUCGGGGCUCAACCCCGAACUUGCAGUGGGUACGGGCAGACUAGAGUGUGGUAGGGGAGACUGGAAUUCCCGGUGUAGUGGUGAAAUGCGUAGAGAUCGGGAGGAACACCCGUGGCGAAGGCAGCUCGCUGGGACGGUACUGACGCUCAGGUGCGAAAGCUAGGGGAGCGAACAGG
This 253-nucleotide ribosomal RNA is filed under the name uncultured bacterium. Its description in RNAcentral is "partial 16S ribosomal RNA". It matches the Rfam family "Bacterial small subunit ribosomal RNA", at positions 524 to 776 of the family's 1533-position model. The record is from RNAcentral.